Molecule: ribosomal RNA, 251 nt
Filed under: uncultured bacterium
Lineage: Bacteria
Description: partial 16S ribosomal RNA
Rfam family: Bacterial small subunit ribosomal RNA
Source: RNAcentral
UACAGAGGGUGCAAGCGUUGUCCGGAUUUAUUGGGCGUAAAGAGCGUGUAGGCGGUUCGGUAAGUCUGUCGUGAAAUCCUGAGGCUCAACCUCGGGCGUGCGAUGGAUACUGCCGGGCUAGAGGGUGGUAGAGGCGAGUGGAAUUCCACGUGUAGCAGUGAAUGCGUAGAGAUGUGGAGGAACACCGAUGGCGAAGGGCAGCCUCCUGGGCCAGCACUGACGCUGAGGAGCGAAGCCAGGGAGCAAACGGG